GGCCUGUUGAUUAGGAUUUCAGGUCUAACCUGCCCAAUGAUGUAUUUAAUGGCCGCGGUAUUUUGACCGUGCAAAGGUAGCAUAAUCAUUAGUUUUUUAAUUGGAAACUUGAAUGAAGGGUUGAAUGAGGAAAAUACUGUCUCUGUAGAAAUUUUUUAGAAGUUUAUUUUUAAGUAAAAAAGCUUAAAUUUAUAUAGAAGACGAGAAGACCCUAUAGAGUUUGAUAUUUAUAUUUUUUAAAAAUUUUAGUAUUUAUAAAUUUUUAAAUUAAAUAAAGUAUUUUAUUGGGGUGAUAGAAAAAUUUAAUAAACUUUUUUUUUAUUUAAUCAUAGAUUUAUGAAAAGUUGAUCCUUAUUUUAAGAUUACAAGAAUAAAUUACCUUAGGGAUAACAGCGUGAUUUUUUUUAGAGUUCUUAUCGAAAAAAGAGAUUGCGACCUCGAUGUUGGAUUAAAAUUAAUUAUUGGUGAAGAAGCUAAUAAAUUAGGUCUGUUCGACCUUUAAAAUUUUACAUGAUCUGAGUUUAAACCGGUGUGAG
Molecule: ribosomal RNA, 536 nt
Filed under: Trigonopterus sp. 541 AR-2020
Lineage: Eukaryota; Metazoa; Arthropoda; Insecta; Coleoptera; Curculionidae
Description: partial large subunit ribosomal RNA
Rfam family: Bacterial large subunit ribosomal RNA
Source: RNAcentral